GACGAACGCUGGCGGCGUGCUUAACACAUGCAAGUCGAACGCUGAAGCUCAGCUUUUGUUGGGUGGAUGAGUGGCGAACGGGUGAGUAACACGUGAGUAACCUGCCUCCUUCUUUGGGAUAACGCCCGGAAACGGGUGCUAAUACUGGAUCUUCACUGGUCUUCGCAUGGGGGUUGGUGGAAAGGGUUUUUCUGGUGGUGGAUGGGCUCGCGGCCUAUCAGCUUGUUGGUGGGGUGAUGGCCUACCAAGGCUUUGACGGGUAGCCAGCCUGAGAGGGUGACCGGGCACAUUGGGACUGAGAAAAGGCCCAGAGGAGGACGGGAGGCAGCAGAGGGGAAAAUUGCAGAAUGGGCGAAAGACUGAUGCAGCGACGGCGAGGGAGGGAUGGAGGCCUUCGGGUUGUGAACCUGUGUCGGAAAUGGUGAAGCCGAAAAAAUGGUUGUGGUGAGGGUAGUGGGUAAAGAAGCGCCGGCUAACUACGUG
Molecule: ribosomal RNA, 483 nt
Filed under: uncultured bacterium
Lineage: Bacteria
Description: partial 16S ribosomal RNA
Rfam family: Bacterial small subunit ribosomal RNA
Source: RNAcentral